This 474-nucleotide ribosomal RNA is filed under the name Escherichia coli. RNAcentral's name for it is "bacterial SSU rRNA". It matches the Rfam family "Bacterial small subunit ribosomal RNA", at positions 1 to 471 of the family's 1533-position model. Lineage: Bacteria; Pseudomonadati; Pseudomonadota; Gammaproteobacteria; Enterobacterales; Enterobacteriaceae. The record is from RNAcentral.
AAAUUGAAGAGUUUGAUCAUGGCUCAGAUUGAACGCUGGCGGCAGGCCUAACACAUGCAAGUCGAACGGUAACAGGAAACAGCUUGCUGUUUCGCUGACGAGUGGCGGACGGGUGAGUAAUGUCUGGGAAACUGCCCGAUGGAGGGGGAUAACUACUGGAAACGGUAGCUAAUACCGCAUAACGUCGCAAGACCAAAGAGGGGGACCUUCGGGCCUCUUGCCAUCGGAUGUGCCCAGAUGGGAUUAGCUAGUAGGUGGGGUAACGGCUCACCUAGGCGACGAUCCCUAGCUGGUCUGAGAGGAUGACCAGCCACACUGGAACUGAGACACGGUCCAGACUCCUACGGGAGGCAGCAGUGGGGAAUAUUGCACAAUGGGCGCAAGCCUGAUGCAGCCAUGCCGCGUGUAUGAAGAAGGCCUUCGGGUUGUAAAGUACUUUCAGCGGGGAGGAAGGGAGUAAAGUUAAUACCUUUA